AUACAUGCAAGUCGAACGCUUCUUUUCCCACCGGAGCUUGCUCCACCGGGAAAAGAGGAGUGGCGAACGGGUGAGUAACACGUGGGUAACCUGCCCAUCAGAAGGGGAUAACACUUGGAAACAGGUGCUAAUACCGUAUAACAAUCGAAACCGCAUGGUUUCGUUUUGAAAGGCGCUUUACGGUGCCGCUGAUGGAUGGACCCGCGGUGCAUUAGCUAGUUGGUGAGGUAACGGCUCACCAAGGCCACGAUGCAUAGCCGACCUGAGAGGGUGAUCGGCCACAUUGGGACUGAGACACGGCCCAAACUCCUACGGGAGGCAGCAGUAGGGAAUCUUCGGCAAUGGACGAAAGUCUGACCGAGCAACGCCGCGUGAGUGAAGAAGGUUUUCGGAUCGUAAAACUCUGUUGUUAGAGAAGAACAAGGGUGAGAGUAACUGUUCACCCCUUGACGGUAUCUAACCAGAAAGCCACGGCUAACUACGUGCCAGCAGCCGCGGUAAUACGUAGGUGGCAAGCGUUGUCCGGAUUUAUUGGGCGUAAAGCGAGCGCAGGCGGUUUCUUAAGUCUGAUGUGAAAGCCCCCGGCUCAACCGGGGAGGGUCAUUGGAAACUGGGAGACUUGAGUGCAGAAGAGGAGAGUGGAAUUCCAUGUGUAGCGGUGAAAUGCGUAGAUAUAUGGAGGAACACCAGUGGCGAAGGCGGCUCUCUGGUCUGUAACUGACGCUGAG
This 728-nucleotide ribosomal RNA is filed under the name Enterococcus mundtii. Its description in RNAcentral is "bacterial SSU rRNA". It matches the Rfam family "Bacterial small subunit ribosomal RNA", at positions 51 to 750 of the family's 1533-position model. Lineage: Bacteria; Bacillati; Bacillota; Bacilli; Lactobacillales; Enterococcaceae. The record is from RNAcentral.